This 259-nucleotide long non-coding RNA is filed under the name Carica papaya (papaya). Its description in RNAcentral is "long non-coding RNA (CPAP_LNC006362)". The record is from RNAcentral. Lineage: Eukaryota; Viridiplantae; Streptophyta; Magnoliopsida; Brassicales; Caricaceae.
UCGAGCGUGCUGUAAGCAAUCAUGUCACAAAAUCUAUUGUGAUGUGUUCCCACUUCCACUCCGAAAUUAGUAAUGGUUGAAGUAGCUCGCAUGACUAUUGAUACUCUGCCUUGACUUGCUGACACAUUAAACACUUGAAAACAAAGUUGGCUACAUCUCUUUUCAUCCCGUUUCACCAAAAUCGGGGUCGCAUACUUCAAUACAUCUUAGGGCUUUUGGGAUGCAUGACAAACUUUAAGUUAUGAGUCUCUGUCAUGAU